This 254-nucleotide ribosomal RNA is filed under the name uncultured bacterium. RNAcentral's name for it is "partial 16S ribosomal RNA". It matches the Rfam family "Bacterial small subunit ribosomal RNA", at positions 524 to 776 of the family's 1533-position model. The record is from RNAcentral.
CACGUAGGGCGCAAGCGUUUGUCCGGAAUUAUUGGGCGUAAAGCGCGCGCAGGUGGUUUCUUAAGUCUGAUGUGAAAGCCCACGGCUCAACCGUGGAGGGUCAUUGGAAACUGGGGAACUUGAGUGCAGAAGAGGAAAGUGGAAUUCCAAGUGUAGCGGUGAAAUGCGUAGAGAUUUGGAGGAACACCAGUGGCGAAGGCGACUUUCUGGUCUGUAACUGACACUGAGGCGCGAAAGCGUGGGGAGCGAACAGG